AGUGAACGCUGGCGGCAGGCCUAACACAUGCAAGUCGAACGGCAGCGGGAAGGAGCUUGCUCCUUUGCCGGCGAGUGGCGGACGGGUGAGGAAUACGUCGGAAUCUGCCUAUUUGUGGGGGAUAACGUAGGGAAACUUACGCUAAUACCGCAUACGUCCUACGGGAGAAAGCAGGGGACCUUCGGGCCUUGCGCAGAUAGAUGAGCCGACGUCGGAUUAGCUAGUUGGCGGGGUAAAGGCCCACCAAGGCGACGAUCCGUAGCUGGUCUGAGAGGAUGAUCAGCCACACUGGAACUGAGACACGGUCCAG
RNAcentral lists this ribosomal RNA (310 nucleotides) under uncultured bacterium. Its description in RNAcentral is "bacterial SSU rRNA". It matches the Rfam family "Bacterial small subunit ribosomal RNA", at positions 29 to 334 of the family's 1533-position model. The record is from RNAcentral.